RNAcentral lists this ribosomal RNA (475 nucleotides) under uncultured bacterium. RNAcentral describes it as "bacterial SSU rRNA". It matches the Rfam family "Bacterial small subunit ribosomal RNA", at positions 328 to 793 of the family's 1533-position model. The record is from RNAcentral.
CUCUGUGACUCCUACGGGAGGCAGCAGUGGGGAAUAUUGCACAAUGGGGGAAGCCCUGAUGCAGCCAUGCCGCGUGUGUGAAGAAGGCCUUCGGGUUGUAAAGCACUUUCAGUAGGGAGGAACGGUAGUGUAGUUAACACCUGCACUAUUUGACGUUACCUACAGAAGAAGCACCGGCUAACUCCGUGCCAGCAGCCGCGGUAAUACGGAGGGUGCGAGCGUUAAUCGGAAUUACUGGGCGUAAAGCGCAUGCAGGCGGCCUGUUAAGUCAGAUGUGAAAGCCCCGGGGCUUAACCUCGGAAUUGCAUUUGAAACUGGCAGGCUAGAGUCUUGUAGAGGGGGUAGAAUUUCAGGUGUAGCGGUGAAAUGCGUAGAGAUCUGAAGGAAUACCAGUGGCGAAGGCGGCCCCCUGGACAAAGACUGACGCUCAGAUGCGAAAGCGUGGGGAGCCAAACAGGAUUAGAUACCCUGGUAG